This 219-nucleotide ribosomal RNA is filed under the name Manga melanodonta. RNAcentral describes it as "partial 12S small subunit ribosomal RNA". Lineage: Eukaryota; Metazoa; Arthropoda; Insecta; Lepidoptera; Noctuidae. The record is from RNAcentral.
AUUUUGUAUAUCGUUGUUAUAAAAAUAUUUUCUAAUAAUAAUUAAUAUUUAAAAAUUAAUAUAUAAAUUUAAAUCAGAUCAAGAUGCAGAUUAUAAUUAAGAAUAUAAUGGAUUACAAUAAAUUUAUUUAAAUGAAUAUUAAUUUGUAAUAAUUAAUUAAAAGUGGAUUUAAAUGUAAUUUUAUUUAAUUUAAUAAAAUGAUUAAAAAUUAAAAUAUGU